CUGAUGCAGCGACGCCGCGUGAGUGAAGAAGUAUUUCGGUAUGUAAAGCUCUAUCAGCAGGGAAGAAAAUGACGGUACCUGACUAAGAAGCCCCGGCUAACUACGUGCCAGCAGCCGCGGUAAUACGUAGGGGGCAAGCGUUAUCCGGAUUUACUGGGUGUAAAGGGAGCGUAGACGGUAAAGCAAGUCUGAAGUGAAAGCCCGGGGCUCAACCCCGGGACUGCUUUGGAAACUGUUUAACUAGAGUGCUGGAGAGGUAAGCGGAAUUCCUAGUGUAGCGGUGAAAUGCGUAGAUAUUAGGAGGAACACCAGUGGCGAAGGCGGCUUACUGGACAGUAACUGACGUUGAGGCUCGAAAGCGUGGGGAGCAAACAGGAUUAGAUACCCUGGUAGUCCACGCCGUAAACGAUGAAAAGGAGGUGUUGGGGGACAAAGUCCUUCGGUGCCGU
This 449-nucleotide ribosomal RNA is filed under the name uncultured bacterium. Its description in RNAcentral is "bacterial SSU rRNA". It matches the Rfam family "Bacterial small subunit ribosomal RNA", at positions 383 to 849 of the family's 1533-position model. The record is from RNAcentral.